RNAcentral lists this long non-coding RNA (1190 nucleotides) under Anas platyrhynchos platyrhynchos (common mallard). RNAcentral's name for it is "lncRNA (ENSAPLG00000023397.1)". The record is from RNAcentral. Lineage: Eukaryota; Metazoa; Chordata; Aves; Anseriformes; Anatidae.
UAUCUCUCAUCUGGUAGUAUAACCCUUGUUCUUUCUUGCAAAGUACAGUAACCUGUACUUGCAUUUUGUUGGAUUCUGACAAUUUAACCAAAUUAUUUAGAUUAAAUGCUAACAGUAAAGUAUCUUCCUUUUUAUUUCCUGUCCCAUCGAUCUUUGUGUCAUAUGCAAAUUUAAUCAACUAAGAUUUUAUUUCAUCAUCUAGAUUGUUUAUAAGAAUGCACUGAGUACUGUUGGACCAGGAAUCUCUCCCAGGGGACCUCACUUGGAACAGCCCUGCUCACUGAUAUCUGCCAAUAAGGUGUUUUUUAAUUUAUCUAAUGUGUGCCCUGUUGAUUAAAAAUCUUGCAUUAUAGGGAAUUAAAACUGCCAUGUGACACUAUUGCAGAAGCCUUAGAGAAAUACAAAGAUGAUACAGCAACAGAGUUGCCAGACUUGCAUUGACAACAUUCUGCCUGGACAGAGCAUCAUCUCCAACACUCAUGUGCACUUGCUUUUUGCUCAAUAAAGUAGAAAGACUCAUAUUUGCUCAUAUCCUCCUUCCUCCUUCUUCUUCAUAACUACGGUCUGUAGAGAUAAAGUUCUGCAGAUUUGCUCCAAGCACAGAAUCUACAUCAACUCUAGUUUUCACAAGAAACCCUAAUGAAACUUUGGGGCUUUCUUCUUUUUUUUUUUUUUUAAUGAAUAUUUUUCAGAAAAUAAUUUCUCUGUCUCCAGAUUAGAGUGGUCAUCAUAUUUAACUUGAAAGUUAAGCACAAGUGUGGUAAAGAAAGAAAAAGUGUAGUCAAAGGAAAAUUCCAUAACUCCAAGUGAAUACCUUCAGGUGUAUCUUCAUGAUUUCAAAUAUUCCAACUGACUUCAGCAUGUGAUAUUAUCACUUGCACAGCUGAGGUUUUUAUGCAGUAUUUCAAUGGAGUUGAUCUUCAGAUGCACUAAAAACUGUGUCUUUGGAAGACUGCCUCUAGAUGUAGGAAUUCAAAUCUAAGUUUUAACCUCAAGAACUCUGCUCAGUUUUCCGCUAGUCCUAGGGACAUUUACCUUAACUACUUUUCAGUAGCUAAGUCAUUCCCAGUCUUUUCAAGAAUUUAGCACUUGCAAGUAUGUUAAUGUGCCACCUUAGGGCCCAUGAUAGCUGAUGUCAUAAGAGUUUCUGAACUGGCUACUCUUAACUUCUGGGAAAUCAGAUGAUGGAA